UGGGGAAUUUUGCACAAUGGGGGAAACCCUGAUGCAGCGACGCCGCGUGAUUUAGAAGGCCUUCGGGUUGUAAAAAUCUUUUCUAUGGGAAGAAAAUGACAGUACCAUAGGAAUAAGGACCGGCUAAUUACGUGCCAGCAGCCGCGGUAAUACGUAAGGUCCGAGCGUUGUCCGGAAUCAUUGGGCGUAAAGGGUACGUAGGCGGGUAAGCAAGUUAGAAGUGAAAUCCUGUAGCUCAACUACAGUAAGCUUUUAAAACUGCUCAUCUUGAGAUAUGGAAGGGAAAGUGGAAUUCCUAGUGUAGCGGUGAAAUGCGCAGAUAUUAGGAGGAAUACCGGUGGCGAAGGCUACUUUCUGGCCAUAAUCUGACGCUGAGGUACGAAAGCGUGGGUAGCAAACAGG
This 402-nucleotide ribosomal RNA is filed under the name Bacteroidota bacterium. Its description in RNAcentral is "Bacteroidetes bacterium partial 16S ribosomal RNA". It matches the Rfam family "Bacterial small subunit ribosomal RNA", at positions 355 to 776 of the family's 1533-position model. Lineage: Bacteria; Pseudomonadati; Bacteroidota. The record is from RNAcentral.